CCUACGGGUGGCUGCAGUGGGGAAUAUUGGACAAUGGGGGGAACCCUGAUCCAGCCAUGCCGCGUGUGUGAAGAAGGCCCUCGGGUUGUAAAGCACUUUCAGUGAGGAAGAACGCCUGGUGGUUAAUACCCAUCAGGAAAGACAUCACUCACAGAAGAAGCACCGGCUAACUCCGUGCCAGCAGCCGCGGUAAUACGGAGGGUGCGAGCGUUAAUCGGAAUUACUGGGCGUAAAGCGCGCGUAGGUGGCUUGAUAAGCCGGUUGUGAAAGCCCCGGGCUCAACCUGGGAACGGCAUCCGGAACUGUCAAGCUAGAGUGCAGGAGAGGAAGGUAGAAUUCCCGGUGUAGCGGUGAAAUGCGUAGAGAUCGGGAGGAAUACCAGUGGCGAAGGCGGCCUUCUGGACUGACACUGACACUGAAGUGCGAAAGCGUGGGUAGCAAACAGGAUUAGAUACCCUGGUAGUC
This 465-nucleotide ribosomal RNA is filed under the name Vreelandella stevensii. RNAcentral's name for it is "partial 16S ribosomal RNA". It matches the Rfam family "Bacterial small subunit ribosomal RNA", at positions 338 to 795 of the family's 1533-position model. The record is from RNAcentral. Lineage: Bacteria; Pseudomonadati; Pseudomonadota; Gammaproteobacteria; Oceanospirillales; Halomonadaceae.